ACGAACGCUGGCGGCGUGCUUAACACAUGCAAGUCGAACGGAAAGGCCCUGCUUUUGUGGGGUGCUCGAGUGGCGAACGGGUGAGUAACACGUGAGUAACCUGCCCUUGACUUUGGGAUAACUUCAGGAAACUGGGGCUAAUACCGGAUAGGAGCUCCUGCUGCAUGGUGGGGGUUGGAAAGUUUCGGCGGUUGGGGAUGGACUCGCGGCUUAUCAGCUUGUUGGUGGGGUAGUGGCUUACCAAGGCUUUGACGGGUAGCCGGCCUGAGAGGGUGAACGGCCACAUUGGGACUGAGAUACGGACCAGACUCCUACGGGAGGCAGCAGUGGGGAGUAUUGCACAAUGGGCGGAAGCCUGAUGCAGCAACGCCGCGUGCGGGAUGACGGCCUUCGGGUUGUAAACCGCUUUCGCCUGUGACGAAGCGUGAGUGACGGUAAUGGGUAAAGAAGCACCGGCUAACUACGUG
RNAcentral lists this ribosomal RNA (467 nucleotides) under uncultured bacterium. RNAcentral's name for it is "partial 16S ribosomal RNA". It matches the Rfam family "Bacterial small subunit ribosomal RNA", at positions 29 to 507 of the family's 1533-position model. The record is from RNAcentral.